AAACUUACCUGGCAGGGGAGAUACCAUGAUCAUGAAGGUGGUUUUGCCAGGGUGAGGCUCAUCCAUUGCACUGAGGGUGCGCUGAUCUCUGUGAUUUCCCCAAAUGCGGGAAACUCGACUGCAUAAUUUGUGGUAGUCGGGGACCACGUUCGCACUCUCCCCUG
This 164-nucleotide small nuclear RNA is filed under the name Chelonia mydas (Green sea turtle). Its description in RNAcentral is "U1 spliceosomal RNA". It matches the Rfam family "U1 spliceosomal RNA". From Rfam's summary of the family: U1 is a small nuclear RNA (snRNA) component of the spliceosome (involved in pre-mRNA splicing). Its 5' end forms complementary base pairs with the 5' splice junction, thus defining the 5' donor site of an intron. There are significant differences in sequence and secondary structure between metazoan and yeast U1 snRNAs, the latter being much longer (568 nucleotides as compared to 164 nucleotides in human). Lineage: Eukaryota; Metazoa; Chordata; Testudines; Cheloniidae. The record is from Rfam by way of RNAcentral.